GAUUAGAAAUCUUUUGGGCUUUGCCCGCGCAGGUUCGAGUCCUGCAGUUGUCG
Molecule: transfer RNA, 53 nt
Filed under: Saccharomyces cerevisiae YJM969
Lineage: Eukaryota; Fungi; Ascomycota; Saccharomycetes; Saccharomycetales; Saccharomycetaceae
Description: partial tRNA-Ser
Source: RNAcentral